This 496-nucleotide ribosomal RNA is filed under the name uncultured bacterium. Its description in RNAcentral is "partial 16S ribosomal RNA". It matches the Rfam family "Bacterial small subunit ribosomal RNA", at positions 28 to 507 of the family's 1533-position model. The record is from RNAcentral.
GAUGAACGCUGGCGGCGUGCCUAAUACAUGCAAGUCGAGCGAACAGAUAAGGAGCUUGCUCCUUUGACGUUAGCGGCGGACGGGUGAGUAACACGUGGGUAACCUACCUAUAAGACUGGAAUAACUCCGGGAAACCGGGGCUAAUGCCGGAUAACAUUAGAACCGCAUGGUUCUAAAGUGAAAGAUGGUUUUGCUAUCACUUAUAGAUGGACCCGCGCCGUAUUAGCUAGUUGGUAAGGUAACGGCUUACCAAGGCAACGAUACGUAGCCGACCUGAGAGGGUGAUCGGCCACACUGGAACUGAGACACGGUCCAGACUCCUACGGGAGGCAGCAGUAGGGAAUCUUCCGCAAUGGGCGAAAGCCUGACGGAGCAACGCCGCGUGAGUGAUGAAGGUCUUCGGAUCGUAAAACUCUGUUAUUAGGGAAGAACAAAUGUGUAAGUAACUGUGCACGUCUUGACGGUACCUAAUCAGAAAGCCACGGCUAACUACGUG